UACGAAGGGGGCUAGCGUUGCUCGGAAUCACUGGGCGUAAAGGGUGCGUAGGCGGGUUUUUAAGUCAGGGGUGAAAUCCUGGAGCUCAACUCCAGAACUGCCUUUGAUACUGAAGAUCUUGAGUUCGGGAGAGGUGAGUGGAACUGCGAGUGUAGAGGUGAAAUUCGUAGAUAUUCGCAAGAACACCAGUGGCGAAGGCGGCUCACUGGCCCGAUACUGACGCUGGGGCACGAAAGCGUGGGGAGCAAACAGG
RNAcentral lists this ribosomal RNA (253 nucleotides) under uncultured bacterium. Its description in RNAcentral is "partial 16S ribosomal RNA". It matches the Rfam family "Bacterial small subunit ribosomal RNA", at positions 524 to 776 of the family's 1533-position model. The record is from RNAcentral.